Molecule: transfer RNA, 70 nt
Filed under: Opistoplatys sp. HL-2013
Lineage: Eukaryota; Metazoa; Arthropoda; Insecta; Hemiptera; Reduviidae
Description: tRNA-Leu
Source: RNAcentral
AUUAUCUUGGCAGAAAUAUUUAUGCGAUAAAUUUAGAAUUUAUAUUAUGUAAAAUUAUUUACAGAUAAUA